AGAUUAAGUUUUACUGUGUUGAUUAAACGUUUCAAAAUCAAAGAUAUUUGCGAUAUUAAACGCGGUAGAGUUAUCAGCAAACUAUAUAUCAAAAACAAUCCAGGAGAAUUCCCUGUUUAUUCAUCAGCAACAGUUAAUAACGGUGAAAUCGGUAAGAUAAAGGAUUGUGAUUUUAAUGGAGAGUACGUCACUUGAACAACUGAUGGAGCCCAAGCUGGUAGUGUUUUUUAUCGUAACGGUCAAUUUAACGCAACCAAUGUUUGUGGAAUUCUUAAGGUAAAAAGUGAU
This 288-nucleotide small RNA is filed under the name Mycoplasmoides pneumoniae M129. RNAcentral describes it as "Mycoplasma pneumoniae M129 ncRNA". The record is from RNAcentral. Lineage: Bacteria; Bacillati; Mycoplasmatota; Mycoplasmoidales; Mycoplasmoidaceae.